RNAcentral lists this small RNA (8914 nucleotides) under Pongo abelii (Sumatran orangutan). Its description in RNAcentral is "retained intron". Lineage: Eukaryota; Metazoa; Chordata; Mammalia; Primates; Hominidae. The record is from RNAcentral.
GCCAUGUUGAUUUCUGAUCCUUGAGCUUUUCUGUGUUUCUCUGUUCAUUUUUCAUGGCAUCCUUGGAAGGAUGCCAAGCUAAGGAGGCCAGGGGGGAAUAAAAGGAGUCCAGGCUCCCAACUGUGCCCUUCCCCUCUCCCCUGGGAGCCACCACUGAGGGUCCUUAUGGUUCCUCCAGUCUGGACUCUGCUGCUGCUGGUGGGGGCUGCCCCUUUCAGGAAAGAGAAGCCUCCGGACCAGAAGCUGGUCGUUCGCAGCUCUAGGGACAACUAUGUCCUCACCCAGUGUGAUUUUGAGGAUGACGCCAAACCCCUCUGUGACUGGUCCCAAGUGUCCGCAGAUGAUGGAGACUGGGUUCGAGCCAGUGGGCCCUCUCCCACUGGCUCCACUGGGGCCCCCGGGGGGUACCCCAACGGAGAGGGCAGCUAUCUGCAUAUGGAAUCGAACAGCUUCCACCAUGGGGGAGUGGCCCGCCUGCGCAGCCCUGACCUAUGGGAGCAAGGCCCCCUCUGUGUGCACUUCGCCUACCGCAUGUUCGGGCUGUCUUGGGGCACCCAGCUCAGGCUGCUGCUGCUCUCGGGUGAAGAGGGCCGCCACCCCAAUGUGCUCUGGAAACACUGGAACACCCAGAGACCCUCCUGGAUGCCCACCACCAUCACUGUGCCCGCAGGGUUCACCCUGCCCACCCGGCUGAUGUUUGAGGGAACACGGGGUAGCACUGCCUACCUGGACAUCGCCCUGGACGCCCUCUCUAUCCGUCGGGGCUCCUGCAAUCGCGUCUGUAUGAUGCAAACAUGCAGCUUUGACAUUCCAAAUGACCUCUGUGACUGGACCUGGAUCCCAACUGCCUCCGGGGCCAAGUGGACUCAGAAGAAAGGGUCGUCAGGAAAGCCAGGCGUGGGGCCUGAUGGCGACUUCUCUAGCCCUGGUAGUGGCCGCUACAUGCUCCUGGACCCCAAGAAUGCAAGACCUGGGCAGAAAGCCGUCCUCCUGAGCCCCGUGAGCCCGUCCUCCGGCUGUCUGAGCUUUUCCUUCCACUACAUCCUCCGGGGCCAGUCUCCUGGUGCAGCCCUCCACAUUUACGCUUCAGUCUUGGGGAGUAUCCGGAAACACACUCUCUUCUCAGGACAACCUGGGCCCAACUGGCAGGCUGUUUCUGUCAAUUACACAGCCAUGGGACGGAUACAGUUCGCCGUGGUAGGCGUUUUUGGAAAGACCCCAGAGCCAGCUGUGGCAGUUGAUGCAACCAGCAUUGCUCCUUGUGGGGAGGGUUUUCCUCAGUGUGACUUUGAAGACAACGCCCAUCCCUUCUGUGACUGGGUCCAGACUUCCGGGGAUGGUGGACACUGGGCCCUCGGACAUAAAAAUGGACCCGUCCAUGGCAUGGGCCCUGUGGGAGGUUUCCCUAAUGCAGGGAGUCACUAUAUCUACCUUGAGGCUGACAAGUUCUCCCAGGCAGGGCAGUCAGUCAGACUGGUGAGCCGGCCCUUCUGCGCCCCGGGUGACAUCUGCGUGGAGUUCGCAUACCACAUGUAUGGCCUUGGGGAGGGUACUAUGCUCGAACUCCUCCUGGGAAGUCCCGCGGGGAGCCCCCCGAUUCCUCUCUGGAAACGCGUGGGGUCUCAGCGCCCUUACUGGCAGAACACCUCCAUCACCAUCCCCUCAGGACACCAACAGCCCAUGCAGCUGAUUUUCAAGGCCAUCCAGGGCAGAAACACAGCCUUUGUGGUUGCUAUGGGUUUCAUCUUGAUCAAUCCUGGGACUUGUCCAGUAAAAGUGCUACCAGAGCUUCCUCCCGUAUCUCCAGUUUUUUCCACUGGCCCUUCUGAAACCACUGGCCUCACAGAAAACCCUACAAUCUCCACAAAGAGACUUACGGUUUCCAUAGAAAAACCCAGUGUCGCCACAGAAAAGCCCACAGUCCCCAAAGAAAAGCCCACCAUUCCCACAGAAAAACCCACCAUCCCCACAGAAAAACCCGUCAUUCCUUCAGAAAAACCCAACAUUCCCUCAGAAAAACCCACCAUUCCCUCAGAAAAACCCACCAUCCUCACAGAAAAACCCACCAUUCCCUCAGAAAAACCCACCAUUCCCUCAGAAAAACCCACCAUUUCCACAGAAAAACCCACCGUCCCCAGAGAAGAGCCCACCACCCCCACUGAGGAGACCACCAUCUACAUGGAAGAGCCUGCCAUCCCCACAGAAAAACCCAGCCUCCCCACGGAAAAACCCACCAUACCCAUGGAAAAACCCACCAUCUCCAUGGAAGAGACUAUCAUCCCCACAGAAAAACCCACCAUCUCCCCAGAAAAACCCACCAUCCCCACAGAAAAACCCACCAUCCCCACAGAAAAACCCACCGUCUCCCCAGAAAAACCCACCACCCCCACAGAAAAACCCACCAUCCCCACAGAAAAACCCACCAUCUCCCCAGAAAACCCACCACCCCCACAGAAAAACCCACCAUCUCCCCAGAAAAACCCACCACCCCCACAGAAAAACCCACCAUCUCCCCAGAAAAACCCACCAUCCCCACAGAAAAACCCACCAUCCCCACAGAAAAACCCACCAUCUCCCCAGAAAAACCCAUCACCCCCACAGAAAAACCCACCAUCUCCACAGAAGAGCCCACCACCCCCACUGAGGAGACCACCAUCUCCACAGAAGAGCCUGCCAUCCCCACAGAAAAACCCGGCGUCCCCAUGGAAAAACCCACUCUCUCCACUGAAGAAACCACCACCUCUGUUGAAGAGACUACCAUCUCCACAGAAAAACUCACCAUCCCCAAAGAAAAACCCACCAUCUCCACAGAAAAACUCACCAUCCCCACAGAAAAACCCACCAUCCCCAUGGAAAAACCCACCAUCUCCACAGAAAAACCCACCAUCUCCCCAGAAAAACUCACCAUCCCCACAGAAAAACCCACCAUCUCCCCAGAAAAACCCAGCAUCUCCACGGAAAAACCCACCAUCCCCACGGAAAAACCCACCAUCCCCAUUGAAGAGACUACCAUCUCCACAGAAAAACUCACCAUCCCCACAGAAAAACCCACCAUCUUCACGGAAAAACCCACCAUCCCCCCAUGGAAAAACCCACCACCCCACCAUCCCCACGGAAAAACCCACCAUCCCCUCAGAAAAACCCACCAUCCCCACAGAAAAACUCACCAUCCCCACAGAAAAGCCCGCUAUCCCCACAGAAAAACCCACCAUUCCCACAGAGAAGCUCACAGCCCUGAGGCCACCCCAUCCCAGCCCCACAGCCACUGGGCUGGCAGCCUUGGUGAUGUCUCCACAUGCUCCAAGUGCCCCUAUGACCAGUGUGAUCCUGGGCACUACCACAACCUCCAGAUCCAGUACAGAGCGCUGCCCCCCAAAUGCCCGCUACGAAUCCUGUGCUUGUCCUGCUUCGUGCAAGAGCCCCAGGCCUAGCUGUGGGCCCCUCUGUCGGGGGGGCUGUGUCUGCAACCCUGGCUUUUUGUUUAGUGACAACCACUGCAUCCAGGCCUCUUCCUGCAAUUGCUUCUACAACAAUAACUACUAUGAGCCUGGGGCAGAGUGGUUCAGCCCCAACUGCACAGAACACUGCCGCUGCUGGCCGGGCAGUCGGGUCCAGUGCCAGAUCUCUCAGUGCGGGACACACACUGUGUGCCAGCUUAAGAAUGGCCAGUACGGAUGCCACCCCUACGCAGGCACUGCCACCUGCUUGGUCUACGGAGACCCUCAUUAUGUCACCUUUGAUGGGAGGCACUUUGGCUUCAUGGGCAAGUGCACUUACAUCUUGGCCCAGCCCUGUGGCAACUCAACAGACCCAUUCUUCAGGGUGACAGCCAAGAAUGAGGAGCAGGGACAGGAAGGCAUGUCCUGCCUGAGCAAAGUCUACGUGACCCUGCCCGAGACCACUGUCACCCUGCUUAAGGGCAGACGCACUCUGGUUGGGGGUCAGCGAGUUACUCUCCCAGCCAUACCCUCUAAAGGCGUCUUCCUGGGUGCAAGCGGGCGAUUUGUGGAGCUGCAGACGGAGUUCGGUUUGCGGGUGAGAUGGGAUGGUGACCAGCAGCUGUACGUUACAGUGUCCAGCACCUACUCUGGCAAACUCUGUGGUUUGUGUGGGAACUAUGAUGGCAACAGUGACAAUGACCACCUGAAGUCGGACGGCAGCCCAGCAGGAGACAAGGAGGAGCUGGGGAACAGCUGGCAGACAGACCAGGACGAGGACCAGGAGUGUCAGAAGAACCAGAUGGUGAAUCCCCCGUCUUGUGAUUCAUCUCUGCAGAGCAGCAUGUCGGGGCCAGGGUUCUGUGGACGGCUGGUUGACACUCGUGGCCCAUUUGAGACAUGCCUGCUGCAUGUGAAGGCCACUUCCUUCUUCGACAGCUGCAUGCUUGAUAUGUGCAGAUUCCAGGGGCUGCAGCACCUGCUGUGCGCACACAUGUCCACCAUGACCGCCACCUGCCAGGACGCAGGCCAUGCCGUGAAGCCCUGGAGGGAACCCCACUUCUGCCCAAUGGCCUGCCCGCCCAACAGCAAGUACUCCCUGUGUGCGAAGCCAUGCCCUGACACCUGCCAUUCAGGAUUCUCCGGCAUGUUCUGUUCAGACCGGUGCGUGGAGGCCUGUGAAUGCAAUCCGGGCUUCGUCCUCAGUGGCCUCGAGUGCGUACCUCGCUCCCAGUGUGGGUGCCUCCACCCCGCAGGCAGCUACUUCAAGGUAGGGGAGCGGUGGUACAAGCCAGGCUGCAAAGAGCUGUGUGUCUGUGAAAGCAACAACAGAAUUCGCUGCCAGCCCUGGAGGUGUAGUGCCCAGGAGUUCUGUGGCCAACAGGAUGGUAUCUAUGGCUGCCAUGCCCAAGGUGCCGCCACCUGCGCAGCCUCGGGCGACCCCCACUACCUGACCUUCGACGGGGCCUUGCACCACUUCAUGGGCACCUGCACCUAUGUCCUGACCCGGCCUUGCUGGUCCAGGUCCGAAGACAGCUAUUUUGUUGUGAGCGCCACCAACGAGAACCGCGGGGGGAACCUGGAGGUCUCCUACAUCAAAGCCGUCCACGUGACGGUCUUUGACCUCAGCAUCUCACUGCUCAGAGGCUGUAAGGUCAUGCUGAAUGGCCACCGGGUGGCCUUACCUGUGUGGCCUGCACAAGGCCGGGUGACCAUAAGGCUCAGCAGCAACUUCGUCCUCCUCUACACGAACUUUGGGCUCCAAGUUCGCUACGACGGGAGCCACUUGGUGGAAGUGACAGUCCCCUCCUCCUAUGGCGGUCAGCUCUGCGGGCUGUGCGGGAACUACAACAACAACAGCUUGGAUGACAACCUGCGCCCCGACAGAAAGCCUGCAGGCGAUUCCGUGCAGCUGGGGGCCGCCUGGAAGUUACCUGAAUCCUCUGAACCUGGCUGUUUCCUUGCGGGUGGCAAGCCCUCCCGCUGCCAGGAGAACGGCAUGGCAGACACCUGGAACAAGAACUGUGAGAUCUUAAUAAACCCUCAGGGACCCUUCUCUCAAUGUCACCAGGUGGUGCCUCCCCAGCCCAGCUUUGCCAGUUGCGUGCAUGGCCAGUGUGGGACCAAGGGCGACACCACGGCCCUGUGCCGCUCCCUGCAGACCUACGCGUCCCUGUGUGCCCAGGCUGGCCAGGCCCCUGCCUGGCGGAACAGAACCUUCUGCCCUAUGAGGUGCCCACCUGGCAGCAGCUACAGCCCCUGCGGCAGCCCCUGCCCAGCCACCUGCAGCAGCAUAAAUGACCCGAGAGACUGCCCCAAAGCACUGCCCUGUGCUGAGAGCUGCGAAUGUCAGAAAGGCCACAUCUUGAGUGGAACCUCCUGCGUGCCCCUUGGCCAGUGUGGCUGCACUGACCCAGCGGGCUCCUACCACCCGGUCGGGGAACGCUGGUACACGGAGAACACCUGUACCAGGCUCUGCACCUGCUCCGUCCACAACAACAUCACCUGCUUCCAGAGCACCUGCAAACCCAACCAGUUGUGCUGGGCCCUGGACGGGCUGCUCCGUUGUCGGGCCUCAGGUAUGGGAGUGUGUCAGCUCCCAGGGGAGUCCCACUACGUGAGCUUUGAUGGUAGUAACCAUUUCAUCCCGGACACCUGCACUCAUGUCCUGGUGAAAGUGUGCCACCCCGCCAUGGCCUUGCCCUUCUUCAAGAUCAGUGCCAAGCAUGAGAAGGAGGAAGGUGGAACUGAGGCUUUCCGCCUUCACGAGGUCUACAUUGACAUCUACGAUGCCCAGGUCACCCUGCAGAAGGGCCACUGUGUGCUGAUCAACAGCAAACAGGUCACCCUCCCCGCGAUCUCCCAGAUCCCUGGGGUCAGUGUCAAGUCCAGCAGCAUCUACACCAUUGUUAACAUCAAGAUCGGGGUGCAAGUCAAGUUUGACGGGAAUCGUCUCUUAGAGAUUGAAAUCCCCACAACCUACUAUGGAAAGGUCUGCGGUGUGUGUGGGAACUUCAAUGAUGAGGAAGAGGACGAACUAAUGAUGCCCAGUGACGAACUAGCACAUAGUGACAGUGAAUUUGUGAACAGUUGGAAAGAUAAGGACAUUGACCCAAGUUGUCAGAGUCUCCCGGUGGAUGAGCAGCAGAUUCCAGCGGAACAGCAGGAGAACCUGAGUGGAAACUGCAGGGCGGCCGACCUCCGCAGGGCGCGGGAAAAGUGCGAGGCAGCGCUCCGGGCUCCGGUGUGGGCCCAGUGCGCCUCCCGCGUAGACCUCACGCCCUUCCUGGUGGAUUGUGCAGACACCCUCUGUGAGUUCGGAGGUCUCCACCAGGCCCUCUGCCAGGCUCUGCAAGCCUUCGGGGCCACCUGCCAGAGCCAGGGGCUCAAGCCUCCACUCUGGAGAAACAGCAGCUUCUGCCCUCUGGAAUGCCCUGCCUACAGCAGCUACACCAGCUGCCUUCCCUCCUGCUCACCCUCCUGCUGGGACCUGGAUGGCCAGUGUGAGGGCGCCAAAGUCCCCUCUGCCUGCGCUGAGGGCUGCAUCUGUCAGCCCGGCUAUGUGCUGAGUGAAGACAAGUGUGUCCCCAGAAGUCAGUGCGGCUGCAAGGAUGCCCAUGGUGGUUCCAUCCCUCUGGGCAAGAGCUGGGUCUCCAGUGGUUGCACGGAGAAGUGUGUCUGCACAGGAGGAGCCAUUCAGUGCGGGGACUUCCGAUGCCCCCUUGGGUCCCACUGCCAGCUCAGUUCUGACAACAGCAACAGCAACUGUGUCUCAGACAAGUCUGAACAAUGCUCAGUCUAUGGGGACCCCCGUUACCUCACAUUUGAUGGCUUCAGCUACCGCUUCCAAGGCCGCAUGACGUAUGUUCUGAUCAAAACUGUGGACGUACUGCCUGAGGGGGUGGAGCCCCUCCUCGUGGAAGGACGCAACAAGAUGGAUCCGCCCAGGAGCUCCAUCUUCUUGCAGGAAGUGAUUACCACCGUCUAUGGCUAUAAAGUGCAGCUCCAAGCUGGUCUGGAGCUUGUGGUCAACAACCAGAAGAUGGCCGUCCCCUACAGGCCGAAUGAGCACCUGCGGGUCACCCUGCGGGGCCAACGGCUCUACCUGGUCACUGACUUUGAGCUGGUCGUCAGCUUCGGUGGAAGGAAAAAUGCAGUGAUCUCCCUACCCAGCAUGUACGAGGGGCUCGUGCGUGGCCUGUGCGGAAACUACGACGAGAACCGCAAGAAUGACAUGAUGCUGCCCAGUGGCGCCCUGACCCAGAACCUCAACACCUUUGGCAACAGCUGGGAGGUGAAGACUGAGGAUGCACUCCUCCGCUUCCCCAGGGCUAUACCAGCAGAGGAGGAGGGACAACGGGCGGAGCUGGGCCUCUGCGCGGGCCUCCACGUGUCCGAAUGUAGCCCGGAGCAGAUGGCGAGCAAUAGCACCCAGGCCUGUAGGGUGCUGGCAGACCCCCAGGGCCCCUUUGCUGCCUGUCACCAGACGGUGGCCCCAGAGCCCUUCCAGGAGCACUGCAUGAUGGAUCUGUGCUCUGCUCAGGACCCAAGAGAGCAAGAGGAGCUGCGUUGCCAGGUCCUCAGCGGGUACGCCAUCCUCUGCCAGGAGGCGGGCGCUGCCCUGGCUGGCUGGCGGGACCGCACCCUCUGCGCCAUGGAGUGUCCAGCAGGUACCAUGUAUCAGAGCUGUAUGACACCCUGCCCAGCAUCCUGUGCCAACCUGGCGGACCCUGGGGACUGCGAGGGCCCCUGCGUGGAAGGCUGCGCCAGCAUCCCAGGCUAUGCCUACAGCGGCACCCAGAGCCUCCCCCUGGCUGACUGUGGCUGCACCAGCAAUGGCAUCUACUACCAGGUCCGAGCUGGCAGCGGGAGGCCCUGGGGAGCAGAGGUGCCAAGAAGAGCUAGACCAGGGAUGGAACCGGAACGUCUCCUCCUGGCCCUUCCCCUUUCUAGCUGGGCAGCAGCUUUGUGACUGAGGACUGCUCUCAGCGGUGCACCUGCGCCAGCUCACGGAUCCUGCAGUGCGAGCCCUUCAGCUGCAGAGAGGGGGAGGUCUGCAUCCUGGGGAACCACACCCGAGGCUGCUUUCCAGAAAGCCCGUGUCUGCGGAAUCCCUGUCAGAAUGACGGGUGGUGUCGGGAGCAGGGAGCGACCUUCACCUGCGAGUGUGAACUUGGUUAUGGGGGAGACCUCUGUAUGGAGCCUCGAGAUGUGCCACCUCCCAGAAAGCCAGCAUCUAACCUGGUGGCUGUCCUACUGGGACUGCUGGUGCCUGUGGUGGUCGUAGUACUAGCCGUGACCAGAGAGUGUAUUUACAGAACGAGGAGGAAGAGAGAGAAAACGCAGAGUCAGGAGGGAAACAGACUGGCCAGGCUGGUGGACACACAUACUGUUCUGGACUGUGCCUUUUAAGUUGCUCAGUUUUGAGUUGUCUUCAGACAAGAAGAUUAAAUAAAUUUAUGUAUUUAUUUAUUUGA